This 438-nucleotide long non-coding RNA is filed under the name Homo sapiens (human). RNAcentral's name for it is "HSALNT0204571". The record is from RNAcentral. Lineage: Eukaryota; Metazoa; Chordata; Mammalia; Primates; Hominidae.
AACAAUUUAAGAGAACUUUUAUCAAAAGGGAAAAAUACAGGGUCUCUCUCUAAUGUCCAGGCUGGAGUGCAGUGGCACAAUCAUAGCUGACUACAACUUUGAACUCCUUGGCUCAAGAGAUCCUCCUGUUUCAGCCUCCCAAAGUGCUGGGAGUACAUGAGAGAGCCAUCAUGCUUGGCACCUUUUAUUUUAUUUAAUAUGAUUAAGUGGUUAUAAUUUUGUAAAUGUAUCUAUUCAACCUUAGACAUAAGGUCAUAGGAAACUGUAUUUAGAGGUACCUUAUAUUAAUUAAACUUUUGUCUAAAAUUAAUACUGCCAGUUAUAAGAAGAUAGCUGAUUACUUAUUAUUACAUAUUGUAUAAAAUAUAGCCAAUUAUGCAGGAGGUAAUGUUUGCUGUUUUAGAAAUGUAAUGACAGUAUCAUCUUAUUUCAUGUACC